Molecule: long non-coding RNA, 261 nt
Filed under: Carica papaya (papaya)
Lineage: Eukaryota; Viridiplantae; Streptophyta; Magnoliopsida; Brassicales; Caricaceae
Description: long non-coding RNA (CPAP_LNC004551)
Source: RNAcentral
UUCACCAUAAUUCAAACCAUAAUAAAAGAAACUAUGAUUCUGCAUACGAAACUAUGAAAUAAAUACAUUAAAUACCAUACUACAUUUAAUACUGAAAAAUAGAUCAACCAACAAUAUAUCAGAUUCGAGCUCCAUUGGCAACCUCAAUCAAUUAUAAAUAUCUAUAAAGUCAUAAAAUACCGUUUAAUUAUUUAUUAAGCUUUAAUGCCGUGAUAGGAGAUAGGAUGAGAGAUCCUUACUUUUCAGAGUUUGAAAUCGGCU